UUCCCGCACAAAACGGGUGGAGCCCGAA
Molecule: small RNA, 28 nt
Filed under: Bombyx mori (domestic silkworm)
Lineage: Eukaryota; Metazoa; Arthropoda; Insecta; Lepidoptera; Bombycidae
Description: ovarian small RNA-37168
Source: RNAcentral